Molecule: microRNA precursor, 60 nt
Filed under: Sarcophilus harrisii (Tasmanian devil)
Lineage: Eukaryota; Metazoa; Chordata; Mammalia; Dasyuromorphia; Dasyuridae
Description: mir-7398 microRNA precursor family
Rfam family: mir-7398 microRNA precursor family
Source: Rfam by way of RNAcentral
AGUGUAGAGGUAGAUAAGAUGCUGUGUUCUUCCUCAGGUAAUUUAUCUACCUCUCACAAC